AGCACAGUUUACUGCAGAAUACAUCAUCUCACAACAAAUAUGAACCAGUAACUAAACUGAAGUGGUGGUCACUCAACUCAUCUAUACUUCUCAACAAAAAUAACCACCAAUCAUGGAACAAUAAAUCAUUCCAAUCUAAUAUGUAAAGGAAGACACAACAGCAAUGGUUUUCGUUACUUUGAACACAUCUUCAUUCCAUCAAGCAGAGGACAAAUCCAAUCCAAACGGACCUGAUCAACCCAAAUCUAUGAUGAGAGGUCAGGGCACUCCGACAAGAUGGUCUUGCGUCCAGAGAGGGGUCAAUCUCGCCCGACGCUGGACUUCUAAAUACAACGCAUCCUCCUGCGAGAUGUGAGCAGUUAUCUCGAGGAGCGGAGUAAGGUAGGUAGUGGUUAUGCCCAUGAUCAGAAGGCUGGCGCACACAUGUCACUCUUGUAUNCGGGGGUGGCAUGUCGAACCAGUACUUGGUCAUUCGGCUAAUCCACCCAGCAUUGCUAGAAACGCCGGAUGUACAUAAGUAGUGAGUAAUUUUAUGAAUUAUCGCAUGUUCCCGGGUCGCGAUUCAAUUAAUAUCAGUUCAAAUCUAUAAAUAGUCAUUCUUUCAAGUUUA
Dalotia coriaria is the source of this 610-nucleotide long non-coding RNA. RefSeq lists it as uncharacterized. The record is from RefSeq and is a predicted model, not a curated record. Lineage: Eukaryota; Metazoa; Arthropoda; Insecta; Coleoptera; Staphylinidae. The transcript has 3 exons.